AGUGAGGGUCCAGUAUUUGCCAGCGGCGGUGCGGAAAGCACACUUCCUGUUCUCACGGCAAAUCUCCACUUGGAAGACUUCCUGGUCACCUUCUUCAUCUUGAUUGGCGGACAGGUCCAUACCUGAACACAAAAGAGGUGGCGAACGUCACAUGACUAAAUCAGGAAGUCUUGGCCCUGAUUAUGACCUUUGAGGCGCAGCAGACAAGCCUGACUGCUGGAAGAGGGUGGAGGAGGUGCACCACAAGGGAAAUUAUGCAAGAGGUGCCAGGAAGGAAGGAAGGAAGGAAGGAAGGAAGGAGACAACCUUUUGUCUCCAACUUGAGCAGAUGGAACAACAACUCAAAGAGAAGUGAAAGCCUUGAGGUCUCACACGCCUACAAUCGCACUCAAGACGCCGCUGCAGGACCCUUAUGCACGACUCAAGGUACACAGGAAAACUCGCACACAACAAAUUGACGUGCGAGUCAUUUCAUAGUCCUGCAGGGACUUGCAAUUGCAUCUCAUUUGGGCAAGUCUUGCAUUCCUCACACUGUUGUCAUGUGACAAACCUAAAGAUUUCCUUUUAUGGAUGUCAGAUUUAACAAAAGGGCGUGGCCUCGCUGAUUCACAUCCGGGUCAACAAAUUAAUAGACAACAAAGUGCAAAGUUGCAGAGACACACACUGCGAGGUUUCGCACAUCUUUGCUAAUCUCAACACAAAUCAACAAAGACAAAGUGACAUCACAUCGUCCUCCUCACUCACAACUUGCAAGCAUAAAAGCGGCAUGAUCUUUGCCCUGUUUUUUUCAUUGAGGUCAAGACUGUCUCACACAGAAAGAAUUUCAAAUUAAGCACGAGUCAAGAUUGAAAAGCACAAGACAGCAUGAAUAUGAUCACAUUGUUUCAAAAUGGUUACGCUGGCCUUGCAUUACUGUCAGCCACUAAUGCAUCUUUCCAGCACAAAUUGACCCCUUGUACUUUCUCACAAUAAAAUCUCAGCCACUAUAACCAAGCUAACGUGACUUUUUUUUUUUUUAGAUGCCAACUUUAAUUUGAUCUUUUUUCUUACAUCAAGGUCACAACUUCCACAGGCAAUCAGUUACAUGACUCCAAUCGCAAUGUUCUAUUGCUCAAUUCAGACUUUGUCUCCUCCUCAGCUGUAAAAAUGUAGCUUUUGUGUAAUCCACUCAACUAAAAUGGCUGCUGUUAUUAAAUCAACACGUGACUUUGAAUCACAUAAAGGAUGAAUGUCAUGGGGAGAUUUAUUUUUUAUUUUUUAUUAUUAGACAAGCUUAGCAUUUGAGCAGAAAAAGAUGUCGAAAAUGCUGGAAUGACACGCUUUGCUCGGAGGCAGGGCGCCGGUUCUCCACUUCCGCUUUAGGACCGCUGCUGCCAUUUCCUUAUAUGGCAGGCACAGUCAGCCAAUCAGAGCACAGCGUCCUGUUCAUUCAAACUGCAAAAGUUGAGAACCGCAAACCGAAACAACUGGCGUUGCUUUUUAUGAUGCGUUCAACGUACCUCGGAAAUCGGGACUUUCUGAUCUUAGCGUUUACGCCCUGCGUUUUGCAGAAGCUGGAUAUUAUGCAACACAUUAUAUGUACAUUGUGAAUAUUUGUGAACAAAUUAAAUCGAUGAAAGUUCAAAUAUACAUUUUGUUUAUCUAUUUAUGACGUGUGGAUGGCCCAUCAAGCUGAAGUUAUGUAAAGGAACUUUGGGCAGGGUGGGGGUUGUUAGUGAUUGUUUGAUUGCUUUAUUUACAAGGCAAGGGCCUAUGAUGCUUUGAAAAGUGAACAGCACACUGGAUGGUGUCACUUGCUGAUUGGUGCUGCUGAACAAGGCAUGCUGAUGAUGACAUGUUGAUCAAGAUCAAGAAGGAAUGCUAGCAUGUGGAAAAAAAAAAAAAAAGUAUUUCCAAUGGAGACAGAUGGCAGAGAAUACAUAGGCAUCUUGUUCACCACACCAUGCUGUGUGUGUGUG
Molecule: long non-coding RNA, 1958 nt
Organism: Syngnathus acus (greater pipefish)
Lineage: Eukaryota; Metazoa; Chordata; Actinopteri; Syngnathiformes; Syngnathidae
Exons: 4
Source: RefSeq, a predicted model, not a curated record